This 78-nucleotide transfer RNA is filed under the name Caldisericum exile AZM16c01. RNAcentral's name for it is "tRNA-Ala". It matches the Rfam family "tRNA". Rfam says of the family: Transfer RNA (tRNA) molecules are approximately 80 nucleotides in length. Their secondary structure includes four short double-helical elements and three loops (D, anti-codon, and T loops). The record is from RNAcentral. Lineage: Bacteria; Pseudomonadati; Caldisericota; Caldisericia; Caldisericales; Caldisericaceae.
UGGGGCUAUAGCUCAGUUGGUAGAGCGCCUCCUUGGCGUGGAGGAGGUCAGGGGUUCGACUCCCCUUAGCUCCACCAA